CGGAGGAUCCAAGCGUUAUCCGGAAUCAUUGGGUUUAAAGGGUCCGUAGGCGGGUUUAUAAGUCAGUGGUGAAAGCCCAUCGCUCAACGAUGGAACGGCCAUUGAUACUGUAGAUCUUGAAUUAUUAGGAAGUAACUAGAAUAUGUAGUGUAGCGGUGAAAUGCUUAGAGAUUACAUGGAAUACCAAUUGCGAAGGCAGGUUACUACUAAUGGAUUGACGCUGAUGGACGAAAGCGUGGGUAAGCGAACAGGAUUAGAUACCCUGGUAGUCCACGCCGUAAACGAUGGAUACUAGCUGUUCGGAGCAAUCUGAGUGGCUAAGCGAAAGUGAUAAGUAUCCCACCUGGGGAGUACGUUCGCAAGAAUG
RNAcentral lists this ribosomal RNA (367 nucleotides) under uncultured organism. RNAcentral describes it as "bacterial SSU rRNA". It matches the Rfam family "Bacterial small subunit ribosomal RNA", at positions 526 to 896 of the family's 1533-position model. The record is from RNAcentral.